RNAcentral lists this ribosomal RNA (319 nucleotides) under uncultured bacterium. RNAcentral describes it as "bacterial SSU rRNA". It matches the Rfam family "Bacterial small subunit ribosomal RNA", at positions 28 to 334 of the family's 1533-position model. The record is from RNAcentral.
GACGAACGCUGGCGGCGGUGCCUAAUACAUGCAAGUAGAACGCUGAGGACUGGGUGCUUGCACUGGUCUAAGGAGUUGCGAACGGGUGAGUAACGCGUAGGUAACCUACCUAUGUACCUGGGAUAACUGCUGGAAACGGUAGCUAAAACCGGAUAUGUGUAUUUCUCGCAUGAGAGAUACAUGAAAGCACCUUAUGGGUGUGGACAUGGAUGGACCUGCGGCGCAUUAGCUAGAUGGUGAGGUAACGGCUCACCAUGGUGAUGAUGCGUAGCCGACCUGAGAGGGCGAACGGCCACAUUGGAACUGAGACACGGUCCAA